GGCAACGGGUGAGUAUAUUGUGGGAAUCUGCCUUUUGGUUUGGAAUAACACGGGGAAACUUGUGCUAAUACCGGAUAAGCCCUUACGGGGAAAGUUUUAACGCCGAAAGAUGAGCCUGCACUUGAUUAGCUAGUUGGUAAGGUAAAAGCUUACCAAGCAACGAUCAAUAGCUGUUCUUAGAGGAAGACCAGCCACAUUGGGACUGAGACACGGGCCAGACUCCUACGGGAGGCAGCAGUGGGGAAUCUUGCACAAUGGGGGAAACCCUGAUGCAGCGAUGCCGCGUGAGUGAAGAAGGCCCUUGGGUUGUAAAACUCUUUCGUCGGGGAAGAAAAUGACUGUACCCGAAUAAGAAGGUCCGGCUAACUUCGUGCCAGCAGCCGCGGUAAUACGAAGGGACCUAGCGUAGUUCGGAAUUACUGGGCUUAAAGAGCUCGUAGGUGGUUAAAAAAGUUGAUGGUGAAAUCCCAAGGCUCAACCUUGGAACUGCCAUCAAAACUUUUUAGCUAGAGUGUGAUAGAGGUAAGUGGAAUUUCUAGUGUAGAGGUGAAAUUCGUAGAUAUUAGAAAGGACACCAAAUGCGAAGGCAACUUACUGGGUCACUACUGACACUGAGGAGCGAAAGCAUGGGUAGCGAAGAGGAUUAGAUACCCUCGUAGUCCAUGCCGUAAACGAUGUGUGCUAGACGUUGGAAAUUUA
This 699-nucleotide ribosomal RNA is filed under the name uncultured marine bacterium. RNAcentral describes it as "bacterial SSU rRNA". It matches the Rfam family "Bacterial small subunit ribosomal RNA", at positions 98 to 833 of the family's 1533-position model. The record is from RNAcentral.